Molecule: ribosomal RNA, 1345 nt
Filed under: metagenome
Description: bacterial SSU rRNA
Rfam family: Archaeal small subunit ribosomal RNA
Source: RNAcentral
UAACACGUCAUUAAUCUGCCCAUAGGUCAGGGACAGCCUUGGAAAACUGAGGGUAAACCCUGAUAGAAGAUUAUCACUGGAAUGUGUUUUCUUUUAAAAGUAAUGCCUAUGGAUGAGAUGGCGGCUGAUUAGAUUGUUGGCGGGGUAACGGCCCACCAAGUCUAUGAUCAGUACGGGCCUUGAGAGAGGUAGCCCGGAGAAGGACACUGAGAAACUGGUCCUAGCCCUACGGGGUGCAGCAGGCGCGAAACCUUUACAAUGCACGAAAGUGUGAUAAGGGAAUCCAGAGUGCUUAUACUAAGUAUAGGCUUUUGCCAAAAGUAAAAAUUUUGGCGAAUAAGUGGUGGGUAAGACUGGUGCCAGCAGCCGCGGUAACACCAGCGCCACGAGUGGGAGCCAUAUUUAUUGGGCCUAAAGCGUUCGUAGCUGGCUUGAUAACUCUUCUGUGAAAUUGUUUAGCUUAACUAAACAGCGUGCAGAGGAAACUGUCAAGCUUGGGACCGGGAGGAGUCAGAGGUAUUCUUGGGGGAGCGGUAAAAUGUUAUUAUCCUUAGAAGACCACCUGUGGCGAAGGCGUCUGACUAGAACGGAUCCGACAGUGAGGGACGAAAGCUAGGGGAGCAAUCCGGAUUAGAUACCCGAGUAGUCCUAGCCGUAAACGCUGUGAGUUAGGUGUUGCACAUUCCCAGAGAAUGUGCAGUAUCGAAGCGAAGGCAUUAAACUCACCGCCUGGGAAGUACGGUCGCAAGACUGAAACUUAAAGGAAUUGGCGGGGGAGCACCACAAGGGGUGCGGCGUGCGGUUUAAUCUAACUCAACGCAGAAAAUUUCACCAGGGGCGACGGCAGUAUGAAAGUCAGUCUGAAGGGCUUACUCGACGAGCCGAGAGGUAGUGCAUGGCCGCCGUCAGCUCGUGCCGUAAGGUGUCCUGUUAAGUCAGGCAACGAGCGAGACCUGUACUUACAAUUGCUAGCGUCUACUUCGGUAGGAGCGAGCACUUUGUAGGGACUGCCUUGGAAACAAGGAGGAAGGUGCAGGCUACGGUAGGUCUGUAUGCUCCGAAUCUCCUGGGCUACACGCGCGCAACAAUGGUUGGGACAAUGGGAUGCGACUCCGAAAGGAGAAGCCAAUCCUCUAAACCCAAUCUUAGUUCAGAUUGAGGAUUGUAACUCAUCCUCAUGACGCUGGAAUCCCUAGUAAUCGGAUCUCAUCAUAAUCCGGUGAAUAUGUCCCUGCUCCUUGCACACACCGCCCGUCAAACCACUCGAGCAGAGUUUAGGUGAGGGUUAGUUUUUUGACUAUUCCGAACUUAAACUCAGUGAGAUGGGUUAAGUCGUCACAAGGUA